Molecule: long non-coding RNA, 1045 nt
Organism: Clupea harengus (Atlantic herring)
Lineage: Eukaryota; Metazoa; Chordata; Actinopteri; Clupeiformes; Clupeidae
Source: Ensembl
CAGUUUUCUUUCUCUUUUGUAGGCUAUUCAGUGCUGUUAGUCUGGGUGUAUUCCAGCACAGCGUCUGUCUGUCUGUCUGUCUGUCUAUCUGGCCCCAUUUUCUCUUGUGUCUGAGGUGCUUACAGGGCUGUAGCUUACUGAUCAGGAGGGACUGCUUGCCACACAUAACAGUAAAGAAAAACUCGGCACGCUCUCUCUCUGACAUCGCCAGAGCCUCCCAACGAACGUCAGCGGAAUGCGUGUUCCAUUACUUAUUGGCAUACUUUGGUUGUGUGUGUGAGUGUGCAGCUUGGAGCAGUCAUAACAACCUCGCACGAAGACGGAAGAAGCAUCCUCUUCAAAGGGCAGUGCCUUGAUGUUCUCAUCGAAGUGCAAACAAGACUCCAUACUUCAAGACUUCAAAUGUGGAGAGAGAGAGAGAGGGAAACAAUUGUGCCUCCUCAAAGUGUACAGGAAGGGAAGCGGAGAUCUUUAUCCACCGGUUGUUGAGUCUUCAACGGUUGGUUUAGUAAUGUUGCAUUAUUAAAACCCCUGGCUGUGGCUGAAAACGAGCUUCGGUGCGGCUUGCGGUGUGCGGCUGACGACAAGGUUUGGGGAUUGAAAUGCUAUCCACCAAUGUCUCCACAUGAAUAAGUUAUUCCCCUUGUACUGUUGUGUCCCUGGUCCGCUGCUGCAGGCCUUCUAAUUGCCUCCCACAUGGUCGGGAAAGAAAUACACACAUACAGACACUCAUAGGGUAUUGACAACAGAGAGGCACAUAUACACACAUUUUUUUCUGCACACCAUAGUGGACAUUACAGUGAAAAACCCACGACCUGGACAUAUAUAGUCGAUAACUAGCAUGAUUAUUUAAUUGAGUGGUGCUUUGAGAAACUCCCUUGUUUGUGGGUAACAUUUAAAUACGCAAAUAGUGAAAAGACACAGUGAUCUGAGGUUACAAACCCAAUGUGAACAGUUACUCUUAUAUGAUAUCUACUAAACAAGACCAGUAAACAUUGAAACAUGCUUGAGUCAUUGCUUGCUCUUGUCAUCCUAACUAACCCAC